UUCGAUUAUGGCUCAGAUUGAACGCUGGCCGGAUGCUUUAUGCAAAGUCGAGCGGCACGGACUUCGGUCUGGUGGCGAGUGGCGAACGGGUGAGUAAUGUCGGAACACCUAGUAGCGGGGGAUAACUACGCGAAAGCGUAGCUAAUACCGCAUACGCCCUUCGAGGAAAGCAGGGGACAUGAACUCACCACUAUUAGAGCGGCCGAUAUCAAGUUCAAGCUAGUUGGUGGGGUAACAGCUCACCAAGGCGACGAUCCGUAAGCUGUGGUUUGAGAGGGACUGACCGGCCACUGGGACUGGAACCGCGGCCGAACUCUACGGGAGGCAGCAGUGGGAAUUUUGGACAAUGGGGAAACCCUGAUCCAGCCAUCCAUGUUGAUAGAAGGCCUUCGGGUUGUAAGCCUUUUGGCAGGAAAAACGGCACAGGAUAAUGCCCCGUGCAACUGACGUAUACAGAAUAAGCACCGGCUAACUACGUGUCGGCAGCCGCGACGACAGCGGUGCAAGCGUUAAUCGGAAUUACUGGGCGUAAAGCGUGCGCAGGCAGGUUCAGGAAGAAGAUGUGAAAUCCCAGAGCUUAACUGGAACUGCAUUUUCUUUACCGAGCUAGAGUGUGUGGAGGAGGUCGAGUUACAGCAUCGCCGAUGAAAUGCGUAGAUAUGCGGAGGAGGAACCACCGAUGGCGAAGAAGGCAACCUCCUGGGAUAACACUGACGCUCAUGCACGAAAGCGUGGGGGCAAACAAGUUGAUACCCUGGUAGUCCACGCCCUAAACGAUGUCAACUAGCUGUUGGGGCCUUGAGCCUUGGUAACAGCUAACGCGUGAAGUUGACCGCCUGGGGAGUACGGUCGCAAGAUUAAAACUCAAAAUUGACGGGGACCCGCACAAGCGGUGGAUGAUGUGGUUAAUUCGAUGUAACGCGAAAAACCUUACCUACCCUUGACAUGUCUGGAAUCCCGAAGAGAUUUGGGAGUGCUCGCAAGAGAACCGGAACACAGGUGCUGCAUGGCUGUCGUCAGCUCGUGUCUACGUGAGAUGUUGAGUUAAAUUCGCUGAGCGCAACCGCCAUCAUUAGUUGCUACGAAAGAGGGCACUCUAUUAGGACUGCCGGUGACAAACCGGAGGAAGGUGGGGAUGACGUCAAGUCCUCAUGGCCCUUAUGGGUAGGGCUUCACACGUCAUACAAUGGUGCCGGGACAGAGGGUCGCCAACCCGCGAGGGGAGCCAAUCGACGAUCGUAGUCCGGAUCGCAGUCUGCAACUCGACUGCGUGAAGUCGGAAUCGCUAGUAAUCGCGGAUCAGCAUGUCGCGGUGAAUACGUUCCCGGGUCUUGCUGCCCGCCCGUCACACCAUGGGAGUGGGUUUUACCAAGUAGUUAGCCUAACCGUAAGGGCGAUUACCACGGUAGGAUUCAUGACUGGAGUGAAGUCGUAACAAGGUAG
Molecule: ribosomal RNA, 1443 nt
Filed under: uncultured Bordetella sp.
Lineage: Bacteria; Pseudomonadati; Pseudomonadota; Betaproteobacteria; Burkholderiales; Alcaligenaceae
Description: partial 16S-23S ribosomal RNA intergenic spacer
Rfam family: Bacterial small subunit ribosomal RNA
Source: RNAcentral